This 845-nucleotide ribosomal RNA is filed under the name uncultured Gammaproteobacteria bacterium. RNAcentral's name for it is "bacterial SSU rRNA". It matches the Rfam family "Bacterial small subunit ribosomal RNA", at positions 8 to 846 of the family's 1533-position model. Lineage: Bacteria; Pseudomonadati; Pseudomonadota; Gammaproteobacteria. The record is from RNAcentral.
AGAGUUUGAUCCUGGCUCAGAUUGAACGCUGGCGGCAGGCUUAACACAUGCAAGUCGAGCGGUAACAGAGAUAGCUUGCUAUCUGCUGACGAGCGGCGGACGGGUGAGUAAUGCUUGGGAAUAUGCCUUAUGGUGGGGGACAACAGUUGGAAACGACUGCUAAUACCGCAUAACGUCUACGGACCAAAGGGGGGGAUCUUCGGACCUCUCGCCAUUUGAUUAGCCCAAGUGAGAUUAGCUAGUUGGUGAGGUAAUGGCUCACCAAGGCGACGAUCUCUAGCUGGUUUGAGAGGAUGAUCAGCCACACUGGGACUGAGACACGGCCCAGACUCCUACGGGAGGCAGCAGUGGGGAAUAUUGCACAAUGGGCGAAAGCCUGAUGCAGCCAUGCCGCGUGUGAAGAAGGCCUUCGGGUUGUAAAGCACUUUCAGUUGUGAGGAAAGGGUGUUGGUUAAUAGCCAAUAUCUGUGACGUUAACAACAGAAGAAGCACCGGCUAACUUCGUGCCAGCAGCCGCGGUAAUACGAGGGGUGCAAGCGUUAAUCGGAAUUACUGGGCGUAAAGCGUUCGUAGGCGGUCUAUUAAGCAAGAUGUGAAAGCCCAGGGCUCAACCUUGGAACUGCAUUUUGAACUGGUAGACUAGAGUACUGUAGAGGGUGGUGGAAUUUCCAGUGUAGCGGUGAAAUGCGUAGAGAUUGGAAGGAACAUCAGUGGCGAAGGCGGCCACCUGGACAGAUACUGACGCUGAGGAACGAAAGCGUGGGGGGCGAACAGGAUUAGAUACCCUGGUAGUCCACGCCGUAAACGAUGUCAACUAGCCGUUUGUGGACUUGAUCCGUGAGUGG